Molecule: ribosomal RNA, 301 nt
Filed under: uncultured bacterium
Lineage: Bacteria
Description: partial 16S ribosomal RNA
Rfam family: Bacterial small subunit ribosomal RNA
Source: RNAcentral
CAGCAGCCACGGGAAUACGUAGGGUGCGAGCGUUAAUCGGAAUUACUGGGCGUAAAGCGCGCGCAGGCGGUUUUGUAAGACAGGCGUGAAAUCCCCGGGCUCAACCUGGGAAUGGCGCUUGUGACUGCAAAGCUAGAGUGCGGCAGAGGGGGAUGGAAUUCCGCGUGUAGCAGUGAAAUGCGUAGAUAUGCGGAGGAGCACCGAUGGCGAAGGCAAUCACCUGGGCCUGCACUGACGCUCAUGCACGAAAGCGUGGGGAGCAAACAGGAUUAGAUACCCGGGUAGUCCCUGUCUCUUAUAC